GGAUGAAUGGCCGAGUGGUUGAAAGCAUCAAUUUUGAAAAUUGACAUAAAUUCUUAUCGUAGGUUCGAAUCCUACUUCAUCCU
This 83-nucleotide transfer RNA is filed under the name Pterocladia mexicana. RNAcentral describes it as "tRNA-Ser". It matches the Rfam family "tRNA". Rfam says of the family: Transfer RNA (tRNA) molecules are approximately 80 nucleotides in length. Their secondary structure includes four short double-helical elements and three loops (D, anti-codon, and T loops). Lineage: Eukaryota; Rhodophyta; Florideophyceae; Gelidiales; Pterocladiaceae. RNAcentral also lists the same sequence under 1 other name. The record is from RNAcentral.